CAAUCCUUAACCCACUCUGCUUCUGCCAGCUAAGGGGCAGGUUGUAUCCUGACAGCCUGGGUUCCUGGGAAGUGUUCAGCUGCAGACUCAGCAAACAGGAGACCGGAGCGUCUGAAGCUAGCUGCCAGGAGUAGUUCAUUUCCACACUCCCCCGGGGGCCUACCCACUGCUUGGACAAUCAGGUUUGUGCUCAGGCUGUCCAAACACAAGGUCAGCAGAGGAGAGGCUACAAUAACAGGACAACUUUACUGCUGCCUUCCCAAUUGAAGGCGACACCCUCCUCUGAGCAUCAAUGGCUCUGUCUCCAAGAGGAGUCCUGGACUUGAUCUAGGCCAGCCCACACAAAACCUAAUCUGCAGAAAGGCAUGGUGGCCUGACUUCUCACUGGCCUGCAAUGGGAAUAGAAGGAGGGACCCGCCCAUCAGUUGAAUUCAGGCCUCUGACCGCUACAGAGCAUCUCCUAUGAGCCAUGCAACAUGAAAUAAGGGACUGCAGCCGCCAGGGACAUUGAAAGUGAACAAUGGUGUCAAGGAACAGCCUGCCCAUGGGAAGUCACAAGAACUUUUGGGAGGGACACUCCCACCCAUGGAGCCAGAAGAGCAUGGAGAGUCAAGCUGUGACCUCGGGAGAGCCCUUCAACAAGGCACUGAUGACCCAGCCCUGUCAGGCCUUCUCAGCUGGAAUGAAUGGUCUGUGGUUGCAAGGAAACAGUUGACCCACUAAUGUGUGCAGACAUUAGCUGUGUGAUCUCAGCAAGUUUAACCUUUUGAAGAUCCAGUACCUACAAACUAGGUAGAGCAGGAGUCUAUUCUUAAGGGGAUACCAUACCACAUCAGGCUCUAGUGAAGGUCAAAGAGAAAGCGAAGGGCAGGAGUUAGAAGCCAUGCCUGGCUCACACAGGAGUGUCUGGCAGAUCAUCCAACACUCAAUGGCUGGGGAGUGGCAGCCUUUCUAGAGACUAGCUUGGAGCAAAAGGAAAGUAAGACAGAGCACAGAGGCAGGUUGUUCUCUGUUCCUUAAGAGUUAAAAAAAAGAGAAGAAAGAUGGCCGAGUCCUAACAUAAAGCAGUCUGCCCUCAGCCUGGCCAGCAGUGGAGGGAGGGAGGGCAGGAGGUCUGGAGGCAGCCAGAAAAGCAGUGGAGCUGGGG
This is a long non-coding RNA of Mus musculus (house mouse), 1147 nucleotides long. RefSeq annotates it as predicted gene, 52741. NCBI's taxonomy places the organism in Eukaryota, Metazoa, Chordata, Mammalia, Rodentia, Muridae. The record is from RefSeq and is a predicted model, not a curated record. The transcript is spliced from 3 exons.